AUUGAACGCUGGCGGCAGGCCUAACACAUGGAAGUCGAACGGUAACAGGAAGAAGCUUGCUUCUUUGCUGACGAGUGGCGGACGGGUGAGUAAUGUCUGGGAAACUGCCUGAUGGAGGGGGAUAACUACUGGAAACGGUAGCUAAUACCGCAUAACGUCGCAAGACCAAAGAGGGGGACCUUCGGGCCUCUUGCCAUCGGAUGUGCCCAGAUGGGAUUAGCUUGUUGGUGGGGUAACGGCUCACCAAGGCGACGAUCCCUAGCUGGUCUGAGAGGAUGACCAGCCACACUGGAACUGAGACACGGUCCAGACUCCUACGGGAGGCAGCAGUGGGGAAUAUUGCACAAUGGGCGCAAGCCUGAUGCAGCCAUGCCGCGUGUAUGAAGAAGGCCUUCGGGUUGUAAAGUACUUUCAGCGGGGAGGAAGGGAGUAAAGUUAAUACCUUUGCUCAUUGACGUUACCCGCAGAAGAAGCACCGGCUAACUCCGUGCCAGCAGCCGCGGUAAUACGGAGGGUGCAAGCGUUAAUCGGAAUUACUGGGCGUAAAGCGCACGCAGGCGGUUUGUUAAGUCAGAUGUGAAAUCCCCGGGCUCAACCUGGGAACUGCAUCUGAUACUGGCAAGCUUGAGUCUCGUAGAGGGGGGUAGAAUUCCAGGUGUAGCGGUGAAAUGCGUAGAGAUCUGGAGGAAUACCGGUGGCGAAGGCGGCCCCCUGGACGAAGACUGACGCUCAGGUGCGAAAGCGUGGGGAGCAAACAGGAUUAGAUACCCUGGUAGUCCACGCCGUAAACGAUGUCGACUUGGAGGUUGUGCCCUUGAGGCGUGGCUUCCGGAGCUAACGCGUUAAGUCGACCGCCUGGGGAGUACGGCCGCAAGGUUAAAACUCAAAUGAAUUGACGGGGGCCCGCACAAGCGGUGGAGCAUGUGGUUUAAUUCGAUGCAACGCGAAGAACCUUACCUGGUCUUGACAUCCACGGAAGUUUUCAGAGAUGAGAAUGUGCCUUCGGGAACCGUGAGACAGGUGCUGCAUGGCUGUCGUCAGCUCGUGUUGUGAAAUGUUGGGUUAAGUCCCGCAACGAGCGCAACCCUUAUCCUUUGUUGCCAGCGGUCCGGCCGGGAACUCAAAGGAGACUGCCAGUGAUAAACUGGAGGAAGGUGGGGAUGACGUCAAGUCAUCAUGGCCCUUACGACCAGGGCUACACACGUGCUACAAUGGCGCAUACAAAGAGAAGCGACCUCGCGAGAGCAAGCGGACCUCAUAAAGUGCGUCGUAGUCCGGAUUGGAGUCUGCAACUCGACUCCAUGAAGUCGGAAUCGCUAGUAAUCGUGGAUCAGAAUGCCACGGUGAAUACGUUCCCGGGCCUUGUACACACCGCCCGUCACACCAUGGGAGUGGGUUGCAAAAGAAGUAGGUAGCUUAACCUUCGGGAGGGCGCUUACCACUUUGUGAUUCAUGACUGGGGUGAAGUC
RNAcentral lists this ribosomal RNA (1469 nucleotides) under uncultured bacterium. RNAcentral describes it as "bacterial SSU rRNA". It matches the Rfam family "Bacterial small subunit ribosomal RNA". The record is from RNAcentral.